CCUACGGGUGGCAGCAGUGGGGGAUAUUGCACAAUGGGGGAAACCCUGAUGCAGCGACGCCGCGUGGGCGAAGAAGUAUUUCGGUAUGUAAAGCCCUAUCAGCAGGGAAGAAGAAAUGACGGUACCUGAGUAAGAAGCACCGGCAAAAUACGUGCCAGCAGCCGAGGUAAUACGUAUGGUGCAAGCGUUAUACGGAUUUACGGGGUGGAAAGGGAGCGCAGGCGGCACGGCAAGCCUGAUGUGAAAGCCCGCGGCCCAACCGCGGGACUGCAUUGGGAACUACCGGGCUGGAGUGCCGGAGAGGUAGGCGGAAUUCCUAGUGUAGCGGUGAAAUGCGUAGAUAUUAGGAGGAACACCAGUGGCGAAGGCGGCCUACUGGACGGUGACUGACGCUGAGGCUCGAAAGCGUGGGGAGCAAACAGGAUUAGAUACCCGAGUAGUC
Molecule: ribosomal RNA, 442 nt
Filed under: uncultured bacterium
Lineage: Bacteria
Description: partial 16S ribosomal RNA
Rfam family: Bacterial small subunit ribosomal RNA
Source: RNAcentral